RNAcentral lists this ribosomal RNA (1057 nucleotides) under uncultured bacterium. RNAcentral's name for it is "bacterial SSU rRNA". It matches the Rfam family "Bacterial small subunit ribosomal RNA", at positions 336 to 1393 of the family's 1533-position model. The record is from RNAcentral.
CUCCUACGGGAGGCAGCAGUGAGGAAUAUUGGUCAAUGGGCGAGAGCCUGAACCAGCCAAGUCGCGUGAAGGACGACGGUUCUAUGGAUUGUAAACUUCUUUUGUAGAGGAAUAAUGGCAGCUACGCGUAGCUGAGAUGCAUGUACUCUACGAAUAAGUAUCGGCUAACUCCGUGCCAGCAGCCGCGGUAAUACGGAGGAUACGAGCGUUAUCCGGAAUUAUUGGGUUUAAAGGGUGCGUAGGUGGCGUAUUAAGUCAGUGGUGAAAAGCUGCAGCUCAACUGUAGUCUUGCCGUUGAAACUGAUAUGCUAGAGAGGAGACGAGGUAUGCGGAAUGUGUGGUGUAGCGGUGAAAUGCAUAGAUAUCACACAGAACGCCGAUUGCGAAAGCAGCGUACCAGGCUCCGUCUGACACUGAAGCACGAAAGCGUGGGGAUCAAACAGGAUUAGAUACCCUGGUAGUCCACGCAGUAAACGAUGAAUACUAGAUUUUUGCGAUAUAGUGUAAGAGUCUAAGCGAAAGCGAUAAGUAUUCCACCUGGGGAGUACGCCGGCAACGGUGAAACUCAAAGGAAUUGACGGGGGCCCGCACAAGCGGAGGAACAUGUGGUUUAAUUCGAUGAUACGCGAGGAACCUUACCCGGGAUUGAAAUUUAGAUGGUGGCAGAUGAGAGUUUGCUUUCCUUCGGGACAUCUAAGUAGGUGCUGCAUGGUUGUCGUCAGCUCGUGCCGUGAGGUGUCGGCUUAAGUGCCAUAACGAGCGCAACCCGCGUCGAUAGUUACUAACAGGUCAUGCUGAGGACUCUAUCGAGACAGCCGUCGUAAGACGAGAGGAAGGGGCGGAUGACGUCAAAUCAGCACGGCCCUUACAUCCGGGGCGACACACGUGUUACAAUGGCAGGGACAAAGGGAAGCGACAUGGUGACAUGAAGCGGAUCUCCAAACCCUGUCCCAGUUCGGAUCGGAGUCUGCAACUCGACUCCGUGAAGCUGGAUUCGCUAGUAAUCGCGCAUCAGCCAUGGCGCGGUGAAUACGUUCCCGGGCCUUGUACACACCGC